Molecule: transfer RNA, 71 nt
Filed under: Encrasicholina pseudoheteroloba
Lineage: Eukaryota; Metazoa; Chordata; Actinopteri; Clupeiformes; Engraulidae
Description: tRNA-Tyr
Rfam family: tRNA
About the family: Transfer RNA (tRNA) molecules are approximately 80 nucleotides in length.
Source: RNAcentral
GGUAGAAUGGCUGAGAGUUUAAGCGGCGGAUUGUAGCUCCGAUUACAAAGGUUUAAAUCCUUUUCCUACCA